AUACCGUGGUAUAAAUUGACCAGCUCGACUCUUACUUUUCAUACGACAAGACGUGUGCAUACGCAAUUUAUUUCUUUGGAAUAUUUUGAUAUAAAUCAUUGAAAAUGCCUUGCGGAGGUUGCGGCGAUAACUGCAAAUGCACCAGCAGCCAAUGCUGCCAGACUUGCAAGUGCGAUGCCUCUUGCUCCUGCAAUUGCAAGAGGACCACCGGACCCGAUACUGGCUCGACUACUACCAAGAAGUAGUUUGUCAUUAAA
Papilio xuthus (Asian swallowtail) is the source of this 257-nucleotide long non-coding RNA. RefSeq lists it as uncharacterized. The record is from RefSeq and is a predicted model, not a curated record. The transcript is spliced from 2 exons. Lineage: Eukaryota; Metazoa; Arthropoda; Insecta; Lepidoptera; Papilionidae.